UCCAAACACUGCAGAAACUAACACUGGAGGUGCUGAAUGAAAACAGCAUUGGAAGGGUGGAGGAGAAGAAAAAAGGGAAACACAACCGCAGGGUCAACUCAGCGUAGACAUUUUUGUACAAAGGUAGAUGAAGGCAAUGGGCUUUGGAAAGAUUCUCGGGAUUAUAUUUUCAUUUCAGCAAGUCACUUUUUGUCUGUGGGAUGGAUGACUGGACACAAGGUUGGCUCCUCACCAGUGACUGCAGAGGCAGCGAGAUGAUUCAUCUUUGCCUCCAGCUCAAGUGCCAGAUGCUUUUCACAGGGUUAAUUAAAGGCACUUGCUAAUUACAUGUCCUUAACAUGUAUAGAUAGCC
This is a non-coding RNA of Meleagris gallopavo (turkey), 352 nucleotides long. Lineage: Eukaryota; Metazoa; Chordata; Aves; Galliformes; Phasianidae. The record is from RefSeq and is a predicted model, not a curated record.